RNAcentral lists this non-coding RNA (781 nucleotides) under Sternochetus mangiferae. The record is from RNAcentral. Lineage: Eukaryota; Metazoa; Arthropoda; Insecta; Coleoptera; Curculionidae.
AAAGAUUUUUAGCUUUUUUUUAUUAUGAAAAAUGGAAUUAUAUGUAAAUUUUUGUGUGAUAAAGAUUUAUUUUUAAAUAGAAUAAAAGGAUAUAAAAUAAUCGCAAUAAAAAGUAUUAUUAAAUUUAUGAAAAUAAUAAAUAGGUAAUUUUUAUAGUAUAAACAAAAUUUGUGCCAGCAGUUGCGGUUACACAGAUUAUGCAAUAAUAAAUUAUUGGUUAGCAGUUAAUAAAAGAAAGUGAAAUAAGAAAAAAAUUUAUUAAGUGAAAUUUUAAAUUUUUAAAGUAUUUUAUAUGAAUAAUUGAGGCUGAGAAAAUUUUAUAUUAAACUAGGAUUAGAUACCCUAUUAUAGAGAAAGUAAAUAGUUAAGACCAGAUUAGUAAUAGUUAUGUUCUUGAAAAUUAAGAGAGUUGGCGGUAUUUUAGUCUAUUCAGAGGAACCUGUCCUGUAAUUGAUGAUCCACGUUUUAAAUUACUUAUUUUUUAAGUUUAUAUAUCGCCGUAGAUUGAAUAUUUUUUUAGAAUUAGAAUAUUCAAGAUUUUUUUUUAAAAAGGAAUUCAGGUCAAGAUGUAGCUGAUAGAUAAGAAGAGAUGGGUUACAAUAAAUUUAUUUAAAUGGAUAGAUUUUUGAAAAAAUUUUUGAAAGUGGAUUUGAAAGUAAUUUUAUUAAAAUUAAUAGAAUGAUUUAAGCUCUAAGAUAUGUACAUAUCGCCCGUCGCUUUCAUCCCAAGGUGAAAUAAGUCGUAACAUAGUAGAUGUACUGGAAAGUGUAUCUAGAAAGAC